Molecule: ribosomal RNA, 222 nt
Filed under: Escherichia coli
Lineage: Bacteria; Pseudomonadati; Pseudomonadota; Gammaproteobacteria; Enterobacterales; Enterobacteriaceae
Description: partial 23S ribosomal RNA
Rfam family: Bacterial large subunit ribosomal RNA
Source: RNAcentral
AUGCCAAUGGCACUGCCCGGUAGCUAAAAGCGGAAGAGAUAAGUGCUGAAAGCAUCUAAGCACGAAACUUGCCCCGAGAUGAGUUCUCCCUGAGACUUAGAGUCUCCUGAAGGAACGUUGAAGACGACGACGUUGAUAGGCCGGGUGUGUAAGCGCAGCGAUGCGUUGAGCUAACCGGUACUAAUGAACCGUGAGGCUUAACCUUACAACGCCGAAGCUGUU